This 484-nucleotide ribosomal RNA is filed under the name uncultured Pseudomonadota bacterium. RNAcentral describes it as "bacterial SSU rRNA". It matches the Rfam family "Bacterial small subunit ribosomal RNA", at positions 355 to 857 of the family's 1533-position model. Lineage: Bacteria; Pseudomonadati; Pseudomonadota. The record is from RNAcentral.
UGGGGAAUCUUGGACAAUGGGCGCAAGCCUGAUCCAGCCAUGCCGCGUGGAUGGUGAAGGCCUUAGGGUUGUAAAAUCCUUUCGUCAGGGACGAUAAUGACGGUACCUGAAGAAGAAGCCCCGGCUAACUUCGUGCCAGCAGCCGCGGUAAUACGAAGGGGGCUAGCGUUGUUCGGAUUUACUGGGCGUAAAGCGCGUGUAGGCGGACUUGUAAGUUGGGGGUGAAAUCCCGAGGCUCAACCUCGGAACUGCCUCCAAAACUACAAGUCUGGAGCAAGAUAGAGGCAAGUGGAAUUGCGAGUGUAGAGGUGAAAUUCGUAGAUAUUCGCAGGAACACCAGUGGCGGAGGCGACUUGCUGGAUCUUUGCUGACGCUGAGACGCGAAAGCGUGGGGAGCAAACAGGAUUAGAUACCCUGGUAGUCCACGCUGUAAACGAUGAGAGCUAGUUGUCGGCACGCAUGCGUGUCGGUGACGCAGCUAACG